AACGAACGCUGGCGGCAGGCCUAACACAUGCAAGUCGAACGCCGUAGCAAUACGGAGUGGCAGACGGGUGAGUAACGCGUGGGAACAUACCCCUCGGUUCGGAAUAACUUAGGGAAACUUGAGCUAAUACCGGAUACGUCCGAGGUUUUAACCGGCCUCGGAGAAAGAUUUAUCGCCGGAGGAUUGGCCCGCGUCUGAUUAGCUUGUUGGUGAGGUAAUGGCUCACCAAGGCGACGAUCAGUAGCNGGUCUGAGAGGAUGAUCAGCCACAUUGGGACUGAGACACGGCCCAAACUCCUACGGGAGGCAGCAGUGGGGAAUAUUGGACAAUGGGCGAAAGCCUGAUCCAGCCAUGCCGCGUGAGUGAUGAAGGCCUUAGGGUUGUAAAGCUCUUUUACCCGGGAAGAUAAUGACGGUACCGGAGAAUAAGCCCCCGGCUAACUUCGUGCCAGCA
RNAcentral lists this ribosomal RNA (453 nucleotides) under uncultured bacterium. Its description in RNAcentral is "bacterial SSU rRNA". It matches the Rfam family "Bacterial small subunit ribosomal RNA", at positions 29 to 513 of the family's 1533-position model. The record is from RNAcentral.